RNAcentral lists this ribosomal RNA (489 nucleotides) under uncultured bacterium. RNAcentral describes it as "partial 16S ribosomal RNA". It matches the Rfam family "Bacterial small subunit ribosomal RNA", at positions 30 to 507 of the family's 1533-position model. The record is from RNAcentral.
AUUGAACGCUGGCGGCAGGCCUAACACAUGCAAGUCGAACGGUAACAGGAAGAAGCUUGCUUCUUUGCUGACGAGUGGCGGACGGGUGAGUAAUGUCUGGGAAACUGCCUGAUGGAGGGGGAUAACUACUGGAAACGGUAGCUAAUACCGCAUAACGUCGCAAGACCAAAGAGGGGGACCUUCGGGCCUCUUGCCAUCGGAUGUGCCCAGAUGGGAUUAGCUAGAGGUGGGGUAACGGCUCACCUAGGCGACGAUCCCUAGCUGGUCUGAGAGGAUGACCAGCCACACUGGAACUGAGACACGGUCCAGACUCCUACGGGAGGCAGCAGUGGGGAAUAUUGCACAAUGGGCGCAAGCCUGAUGCAGCCAUGCCGCGUGUAUGAAGAAGGCCUUCGGGUUGUAAAGUACUUUCAGCGGGGAGGAAGGGAGUAAAGUUAAUACCUUUGCUCAUUGACGUUACCCGCAGAAGAAGCACCGGCUAACUCCGUG